UCUACGGGAGCAGCAGUGGGAUAUGACAUGGGCGCAGCUGAUCAGCAUGCCGCGUGAGUGAUGAAGCCCUAGGGUGUAAAGCUCUUUGUGCGGGAAGAUAAUGACUGUACCGCAAGAAUAAGCCCGGCUAACUUCGUGCCAGCAGCCGCGGUAAUACGAAGGGGGCUAGCGUUGCUC
This 177-nucleotide ribosomal RNA is filed under the name uncultured Alphaproteobacteria bacterium. Its description in RNAcentral is "partial 16S ribosomal RNA". It matches the Rfam family "Bacterial small subunit ribosomal RNA", at positions 338 to 546 of the family's 1533-position model. Lineage: Bacteria; Pseudomonadati; Pseudomonadota; Alphaproteobacteria. The record is from RNAcentral.